Molecule: long non-coding RNA, 2174 nt
Organism: Bombyx mori (domestic silkworm)
Lineage: Eukaryota; Metazoa; Arthropoda; Insecta; Lepidoptera; Bombycidae
Exons: 4
Source: RefSeq, a predicted model, not a curated record
AGAAACAGGCUUUCUAAUGAAACCCUGAACGGCUUGCUUCAUAGAAAGUUCCCAACUUUGCCAGCAAACAAUUGCUCAAUUUUAGAACCGAACAGUGUUAGGUUGCGUGCAGCAAAAGAAUAUAAAAGCAAUGCGUCGACUUCCUUGAAAAUUCUAAUCCUAUAGAUCUAUGAUCUUCUGGGGGCGUUUAUAUUAUAUAUACCUACAUUAAAUAAUAUGCUGUGGUUUAUUUUCUGUAUUUUAUUUAUGCUUUCUAUAUAAAGGAUUUAUGAAAGUUGUCUAGGAAAUUUUAGGGAUAAAUUCAAAAGAAACUAGGGUAAAAUGUGUUAAAAAAAACGUAAGUGGAAACACUGCUUUGAAGUUUUCAAAAUUCCAGGGCCGUAAAACAAUCUCAAAAAUAAAAAAAAAGUUUUCAAAAUGUCGUAACGAUUUAAUUUUUUAAAUCGUUUUUUUUGGUCUUGGUAAAGUUUAUUAUUAAAAAUCAGCAUGCCUCGAAGAUCGAAAAUGAAAUGCUAUUUCGGAUGCCUUGAUAACGACAAAGGUUUGAUAAUGACAAAAUUUUAUGGAAAAAUUAUAAGGAGCACUAAAAUGUCUGAAACAUGAAAAGAUUGAUGCACUAUAUUUGAACCAGAACGUGUUAUGUAAUAUAUUAAUUUAAGAGAAACUGAUUCAGCAAGGAAUGUGAACUCACAAGGGAUCUUAAUUUUUUUUAAAUAUGUUUAUAAUUUAUAAAUUAAUAAUUGAAAUAGUUCAUAAGAACUAAAUUGAUGCCAAUUUUGUUUUAAAAUAGGUUGUUUAGUUCUUAUAGUUAUACUAUUACGUUUGAAUAGUUGUAAUUAGUAAGUUAGUAAUAUAUGAAAAUACUGAUAUAAAUUUUUGUAAAUGACCUUUUAUAAAUUCUACGAGAAGAUGAUUUUAAUUAAUGAUCAAAAGUCAACGAUCUUCAAAAGCAUUAUUUGUAAUUAUUUAGAUUAACUGUGGAAUAUAUUUGCUAAGUUGUGUUUUCUGUAUGAGCAGAUAUAAAUGAAAAUGCCCAAACAUGAUUAUGUUUCUUACAUUUUCAUUAUGUGAAAUCAAUAUGCUUGUGACUGAGUAUAUUAAUAAUUUAUUAAAACUUAAGUGAUAGACAGCAACCCCUAUGACACUGCUGAAGUUUAUAAGCACUGGUGACCACUUAUCAUGAGCCGGGUUGUGUGCUCGUCUGCUGUUGAGUGCAAUAAAAAUUUUCGAGACCCUUUCUAUUAUUUAGAUGUAAUAUUAAUGUACAUCUAAUUUGGAUUAAAAGAUAAAUUUACAUUUUAUGUUUGCAUGUGUAUGUUUAUAAUUCAUUUGCAUGUAACGAACAUCAGUUUCUUUUGUAACAAAAUGCAAACUAAUGGUUUGUAAUGAAUGUAAUUAACUUUAAGAUGAUUUUCUUUCAAUCUGCUGUUUGUUUCAUCUAGUAUUACCAAAGCUAAAGCAUCAGAAACGUCAGAAUAGAAAUAAUUUAGAUAGGGAAUAAAAGUAUAACUAUUGUAAUCAUGUCUAAGAUUACUAUAAGUGUCAUUAAGUACAAACUAUCAAUAUUUAAGAGUACUUUAAAUCAUCAUUACAUUUUUUAAACAUUUUUUGUUUUUUUUUUGUUUUUCAAAUCAUGUAACAAAACGUUUGUGCAGAACAAAAUGUCACAUGUUAUGAACAUGAUUGUGGGUUAAUCGUUUCUUAAAUUUCUAAAUGUUUAUAAGAAUGCUAAGAAUAAUUUAGUAUUCACUUUAGUGUGUGUAUUAUCUCUACAAUGCUAGUUUAAAUGACAAUUAUUGUAUGACGAAGCAUAGGUAGUAUUUAUAGAUGUAAUAUUUUCAUACAAGGUCAUGAUCUGUCACGAUCAACUUUAAGCAAGAACUGCUAUCAUUAAGAAACAAAUUUAUUAAAUUUAAUUCAAAUUGUCUACUAUGUUUAUAAUGGAAAGCUGACAUGUUUAUAUUUCGCACAAAUGACUUAAUUGACAUUGAAUGAUUUGAUUAUCUAGACUUAAUUAACUUUUAGAUAACUUUCGAUUUAAUGUUAAUAAGUACGCUAGUAGGAUUAAUCUAGAGGAGUUAUUGUUAUUCGAAGUUUUAUACAAUUGUACGUUCAUACAAUCUUUUAACCGAAAAUUGUUUGUAAUAUAGGGAAAUUAAAUAGCUUACAGAGAA